GUUGAACGCUGACAGAAUGCUUAACACAUGCAAGUCAACUUGAAUUUGGGUUUUUAACUUAGGUUUGGGUGGCGGACGGGUGAGUAACGCGUAAAGAACUUGCCUCACAGCUAGGGACAACAUGUGGAAACGAAUGCUAAUACCUAAUAUUAUGAUAAUAGGGCAUCCUAUAAUUAUGAAAGCUAUAAGCGCUGUGAGAGAGCUUUGCGUCCCAUUAGCUAGUUGGAGAGGUAACGGCUCACCAAGGCGAUGAUGGGUAGCCGGUCUGAGAGGGUGAUCGGCCACAAGGGGACUGAGACACGGCCAUUACUCAUACGGGAGGCAGGAGUGGGGAAUAUUGGACGAUGGACCGAGAGUCUGAUCCAGCAAUUCUGUGUGCACGAUGAAGUUUUUCGGAAUGUAAAGUGCUUUCAGUUGGGAAGAAACAAAUGACGGUACCAACAGAAGAAGUGACGGCUAAAUACGUG
Molecule: ribosomal RNA, 467 nt
Filed under: uncultured bacterium
Lineage: Bacteria
Description: partial 16S ribosomal RNA
Rfam family: Bacterial small subunit ribosomal RNA
Source: RNAcentral